ACUCCUACGGGAGGCAGCAGUGGGGAAUAUUGCACAAUGGGCGCAAGCCUGAUGCAGCCAUGCCGCGUGUAUGAAGAAGGCCUUCGGUUGUAAAGUACUUUCUAGCAGUGAGGAAGGUGGGUAUGUUAAUAGCAUACUCAUUUGACGUUAGCUGCAGAAGAAGCACCGGGCUAACUCCGUGCCAGCAGCCGCGGUAAUACGGAGGGGUGCGAGCGUUAAUCGGAAUUACUGGGCGUAAAGCGCAUGCAGGUGGUUUGUUAAGUCAGAUGUGAAAGCCCGGGGCUCAACCUCGGAAUUGCAUUUGAAACUGGCAAACUAGAGUACUGUAGAGGGGGUAGAAUUUCAGGUGUAG
This 352-nucleotide ribosomal RNA is filed under the name uncultured bacterium. RNAcentral's name for it is "bacterial SSU rRNA". It matches the Rfam family "Bacterial small subunit ribosomal RNA", at positions 335 to 678 of the family's 1533-position model. The record is from RNAcentral.